Molecule: small nuclear RNA, 76 nt
Filed under: Homo sapiens (human)
Lineage: Eukaryota; Metazoa; Chordata; Mammalia; Primates; Hominidae
Description: partial ncRNA
Source: RNAcentral
ACAGAACGAGACCCUGAUAGUUUGAGGAUGCAGUGAGCUGUAAUCAUGCCACUGCACUCCAGCCUGGGCAACAGAG